Molecule: signal recognition particle RNA, 287 nt
Filed under: Nannospalax galili (Upper Galilee mountains blind mole rat)
Lineage: Eukaryota; Metazoa; Chordata; Mammalia; Rodentia; Spalacidae
Description: Metazoan signal recognition particle RNA (ENSNGAG00000006587.1)
Rfam family: Metazoan signal recognition particle RNA
About the family: The signal recognition particle (SRP) is a universally conserved ribonucleoprotein. It is involved in the co-translational targeting of proteins to membranes.
Source: RNAcentral
GCCGGGUGCAAUGGCACACGCCUGUAGUCCCAGCUACUCAGGAGGCUGAGGCAGGAGGAUCACUUGAGUCCAGGAGUUCUGGGCUGUAGUGCGCUAGGCCGAUCGAGUAUCCGCACUAAGUUCAGCAUCAGUAUGGUGACCUCCUGGGGGCAGGGGACCACCAGGUUGCCUAAGAAGGGGUGAACUGGCUCAGGUUGGAAACAGAGCAGGUCAAAACUCCCAUGCUGAUCAAAUACAGAUCCUAUGACCUCCCAACAGCUGCACAAAAUGGUGAGAGAGGUGCCUUU